AAGCCUAUGCACAGGAACUCCAAGUGCAAAUGCUGCAUUGAAAAGGAGAGCCCCCAUGUGAAUCUUUAAACAAUGCCUUUUAGCUAGAUCUCCAAUUAUAUCUAUAUAAUCUACAAAUAGGAUCUACCACCACAGAUGUCUUGUGAAUUCUCGAAAUAGAUAAGCCUAGUAGGCUAGUAGCUAGACACACAAGCCCCCCUCUCUCAGAUCUCUAAUUGCAGCUUCAAAUUAAAUAAAAAACCACGGCUCCAUCAUUGUUAUUCAGCACUAUCCUUUGAUGCACACCUCCAAGAGUUGAAA
RNAcentral lists this unclassified non-coding RNA (300 nucleotides) under Hevea brasiliensis (rubber tree). The record is from RNAcentral. Lineage: Eukaryota; Viridiplantae; Streptophyta; Magnoliopsida; Malpighiales; Euphorbiaceae.